CAGGUUUCCCAUGGUCCUCAGCUUCCACAUGGCAUUGAGCAGAUUUUUAUGGUGACAGCUGGAUUGCAGUUGAACAAAUCCAUCACUCAUCUUCACUGGUUUCUGCAACUGCCACGACAUAAAUAAGACGUGUUAUCAUCACAGACUGGGGAAGCAUUAGCCAGGACAGGCUCAAUGUCAAUGAUGUCAAGGAACCGCAGCAGAAUAAUAGCUCUGUGAAACCAGCCCAUCUAAAUGCCUUCGUCUCUGCUGUGGAAUAAAGGUUGAGUGUGUGCGAAUGACCCACCCAUACGGUCGAUGACUCAUCGUGCAGAUAAACUACCUGAAACGUCAACGUCGCUGGACUCCAUCCGCUGCACUGCUUGACAGCCGGGGUUCUGUUAGGCAUGCUGAGAGGGGAAUCCCGCCUAAGACAGAGCGUGCAUGCGCUUUUCUGCGGCUGCGCGGAUGUUCCCGAAUAGCCUACCAUUAAUGAGGAUGACUCAUCCCUAGAAACCCCACUGGAUGGGUGCGGAGGUGAUUCACCAUGUGCUAUCCAAGGAUGCCCUUGAGUCUAAACCCAAGAAAAGUGUCACGCUGUGCAUAGUUGGUGUUUCCACUGAGAGUUCGUAUAAGCAGAGGAGGAUUGAGGUCACAAUCUGCUUGGGGUCCUUUUUGCCUUCAUGUUUCAUUAAUUAGUAAGACUCUCUGAUUACAGCCUUAGCUUUCAUUUAUGGCUAUUUUAAGGAUGACAUACAGUUUUUGCACCGCCCACCUUACGCCCUCCAACUGUGGAUAAUUUGCUGCUUGGUAUUGCUUUGUGCUCAAGAAAGCAUAAUUUAUUCUUUGUUAAAAAUAUUAUAUUGUGGAAAAUAGGCCUUUCUAUGCACUUUUUUUUCUUGUAGCUGGUAGAGCCUGGCGCUGGCAAUGCUGAGGACACUGAUUCAAUUCUCAGGAAUGCACAUGCUAAUAAAAAGCACAGAUUGGAUGCUUUGGUUAAUUGAGUUGCUUUUUAAAGUCACCAUGAAAUCAAAAUGGACAAUUUUUAUUUUAUAUGGACU
Molecule: long non-coding RNA, 1040 nt
Organism: Megalobrama amblycephala (Wuchang bream)
Lineage: Eukaryota; Metazoa; Chordata; Actinopteri; Cypriniformes; Xenocyprididae
Exons: 3
Source: RefSeq, a predicted model, not a curated record